Molecule: small RNA, 812 nt
Filed under: Vigna angularis var. angularis
Lineage: Eukaryota; Viridiplantae; Streptophyta; Magnoliopsida; Fabales; Fabaceae
Description: Non-protein coding transcript
Source: RNAcentral
UGGAGAUCAUGUAUGAUGCUGAAAGCCAAACAUAUACCAGAUGGAUCAAUAAAUUGUUGAGUUCACUUAAUGGUUCAGUUCUACAAGGAUUAAAAUUUUGGUUUCAUGUGGGUCCUGAGUGUGAUACUGAUAAGUGGGUCCACUUUGCCAUUCAAAAGAAGGUUCAAAAGCUUGAGAUUUAUUUUGGGAAUACAUUUGAAUAUGUUCUUCCGUUGCACUUGUUUAAACUGGAAAGUUUUAAUUCCUUGCAUGUUUUGCGUCUGAAAUGCAUUACUGUGACCGAGGAGAUGCUAGAAUAUCUACUGCGCUGUUGUCCAUCACUUGAAACGUUGAACUUGGUUGACUCAGUAGUUCCAGAAACUAUGAGGGUUUCGGGUCCAUCACUCAAGCUGAAAAGUCUAGAAUUGAUGAGAUGUUGGGAGCUGCUAAGACUUGAAAUUUUUGCUGAGAAUUUGGUGUCAUUCAAAUACUACGGACCCCAUUUGGAUACAGAAUUUAAGAGUGUUCCUAGUCUUCUGGAAGCAACAUUUGGAGGCUCCUAUGUGGAGUUCACUAGAGAAAGCUUUUUACCACAGUUGGAAGUACUUACAUUGGAUAUUACACAAAACAUACCUGAAGUGAUUUGCUCGCUAGGUCAAAUUCCCAAGUUAAAAAAUAUCAAGCAUUUGGAGUUGGUUGCCUGUGGUGAUGAUGGAAUCACACUUGGUGCUUGUGCUUUGUUAUUAAGGGGAUCACCUUCACUGUGGAAGUUCACAUUAAAGAUGCUACAUACCAAACCCCCUUUAAGAAUACAACAAAAAAUUACAAUGAAA